ACACGACUACAUUAGAUACCCCUGUAGUCCUAGCCGUAAACGAUACUCGCUAGGUGUCGGCCACGGUGCGACCGUUGUCGGUGCCGUAGGGAAGCCGUGAAGCGAGCCACCUGGGAAGUACGGCCGCAAGGCUGAAACUUAAAGGAAUUGGCGGGGGAGCACAACAACGGGUGGAGCUUGCGGUUUAAUUGGAUUCAACGCCGGAAAUCUUACCGGGACCGACAGCAACAUGAAGGCCAAGCUGAAGACUUUGUCGGAUUAGCUG
RNAcentral lists this ribosomal RNA (265 nucleotides) under uncultured archaeon. RNAcentral describes it as "partial 16S ribosomal RNA". It matches the Rfam family "Archaeal small subunit ribosomal RNA", at positions 717 to 982 of the family's 1478-position model. The record is from RNAcentral.